ACUUGCGUGAGAUUAUCCACUAUAAUCUAGACCAAGAUUACAGAAAACUUCCCUUUGAUCUAAGCCCAGAUCAAAGACCCUUUAUGAUCUAAACCAAGAUCACAAAGUAUCCAGCUAUAACCAGCUGCUCUACCUCAAUCAAUUAUACCCAAUUGACUUGAGAGAAUCCUAAGGUUUUUUCAAUGAUUUCUUUGGAUCUAAGCUUAUACACCUAACCGGAUGUGAAGCUUACAAAUUGAUAGACUCAAAGUACUCACAAAUAUAUGAUCCUAGAUUUCUAAAGAGCUUUAGAGUAAGAGUGAAAAGGAGAGCUUGAUUGAAUGUAUUAGAUUGCUUUGUGUGCUUCAAGUUCUUGCUCUUCCAAUUAAACCAACGUGCAAUUUAUAGAUGGAGAUGCUCCUUUGUUGCUUGGACAUCACA
Molecule: long non-coding RNA, 420 nt
Filed under: Trifolium pratense (red clover)
Lineage: Eukaryota; Viridiplantae; Streptophyta; Magnoliopsida; Fabales; Fabaceae
Description: long non-coding RNA (TPRA_LNC011122)
Source: RNAcentral